CUUGAUUUAAGAAACAGAUGUGAAAGUUGAUUUAAGAAACGAUCGACACGACUUCAGAAAACUAUGUGAAACUUGAUUUAAGAGAAACCAGUUCGACUGAUGUGGAAGACUCCGACCAUGUGGAAACGGAGCCUGUUGGGCCUUCCUCCAGGACUGACAGUUGAAACGAUCGAUGGAAUGAUCAGCGCAAACAGAAAAUAUUACUGUUACUGUAAUAUUAUAUGAUAUUCUCUAUAUCUAAGAUAUAUAUUAUAUAUAUGAUGUAAGAUAAGAUAUAUAUUAAAUAUAUAAUGUAAUAUAUAUUAUAUAACAUGUACUAUAUAUAUAUAUAUAUAUAUAUACACACACACACACAUAUGUAUCACGUAAUAUAUAUAUAUAAUGUAAUAUAAUAUUGCUGUUACUGGAAAGAUGACCGCAAGAAUUGAUUUUUUCUUCUACCAGAAGUUUUCUUCGCUGUGUUUUAAGUUGGCGAUUUGCUUUGAU
Molecule: long non-coding RNA, 486 nt
Filed under: Equus asinus (donkey)
Lineage: Eukaryota; Metazoa; Chordata; Mammalia; Perissodactyla; Equidae
Description: lncRNA (ENSEASG00005027229.1)
Source: RNAcentral